Stegostoma tigrinum is the source of this 600-nucleotide long non-coding RNA. RefSeq lists it as uncharacterized. The record is from RefSeq and is a predicted model, not a curated record. NCBI's taxonomy places the organism in Eukaryota, Metazoa, Chordata, Chondrichthyes, Orectolobiformes, Stegostomatidae. The transcript is spliced from 4 exons.
GGGCUGGAUCAGUGCAAACCACGUGAUCCGUGCAGGUUCGCUGAGCACAGUCGGAACUAGAGACUCCGAGAUACUUAGGUGUAGAGCUGGAUGAAUAUAACAGGCCAAGAAGUAUCAGAGGAGCAGGAAAGCUCACAUUUUGUGCCUGGCCCUUUCGCUGAGACUAAGGAUUGUGCAAUUGAUGUAAGAGCAGGACACGGUGAAGAAGGCAAAACGGCAGAAAGCAGAUACCAGCGAUCGUUGCCAAAGCCCUGUUGCCUGUGGAAAAUGUGAUGUUCAACUUUCAUGUGCUGCUGCAGUUCAUAUGAUGAAGGUACUCCCACAAUGCGGUCAUUAGAGAAGUUACAGAUCAUUCAUCUAGCGAUACUGAAGAGCUGAUGGUGUGUGUCCAAAUCAACAAACUGAUAUUACAAGUGGACUUUCAGGUGGGGAAACUCAAUAAUUGUAACACUAAACUCUGACAGAAUUACUCAAUUCAUCAACAUCUGGAUAUUCGUAUUGUAUUUCCACAAUUUUACUUCUGCACUGUUCUUAACCUUUUGAUCCCUCUGAAAGACUGAGUUACAAUGCCUGCCCUUGCUCCCUGGCUCUCCCACCUCU